AGCUUAGAGUUUGAUCCUGGCUCAGAUUGAACGCUGGCGGCAGGCUUAACACAUGCAAGUCGAGCGGGGUGAUGGUGCUUGCACUAUCACCUAGCGGCGGACGGGUGAGUAAUGCUUAGGAAUCUGCCUAUUAGUGGGGGACAACAUUUCGAAAGGAAUGCUAAUACCGCAUACGUCCUACGGGAGAAAGCAGGGGAUCUUCGGACCUUGCGCUAAUAGAUGAGCCUAAGUCGGAUUAGCUAGUUGGUGGGGUAAAGGCCUACCAAGGCGACGAUCUGUAGCGGGUCUGAGAGGAUGAUCCGCCACACUGGGACUGAGACACGGCCCAGACUCCUACGGGAGGCAGCAGUGGGGAAUAUUGGACAAUGGGCGCAAGCCUGAUCCAGCCAUGCCGCGUGUGUGAAGAAGGCCUUAUGGUUGUAAAGCACUUUAAGCGGGGAGGAGGCUACUUUAGAUAAUACCUAGAGAUAGUGGGCGUUACUCGCAGAAUAAGCACCGGCUAACUCUGUGCCAGCAGCCGCGGUAAUACAGAGGGUGCAAGCGUUAAUCGGAUUUACUGGGCGUAAAGCGCGCGUAGGCGGCUAAUUAAGUCAAAUGUGAAAUCCCCGAGCUUAACUUGGGAAUUGCAUUCGAUACUGGUUAGCUAGAGUGUGGGAGAGGAUGGUAGAAUUCCAGGUGUAGCGGUGAAAUGCGUAGAGAUCUGGAGGAAUACCGAUGGCGAAGGCAGCCAUCUGGCCUAACACUGACGCUGAGGUGCGAAAGCAUGGGGAGCAAACAGGAUUAGAUACCCUGGUAGUCCAUGCCGUAAACGAUGUCUACUAGCCGUUGGGGCCUUUGAGGCUUUAGUGGCGCAGCUAACGCGAUAAGUAGACCGCCUU
This 878-nucleotide ribosomal RNA is filed under the name uncultured bacterium. Its description in RNAcentral is "bacterial SSU rRNA". It matches the Rfam family "Bacterial small subunit ribosomal RNA", at positions 9 to 873 of the family's 1533-position model. The record is from RNAcentral.